ACAGACGAGGAGCUUGCUCCUCUGACGUUAGCGGCGGACGGGUGAGUAACACGUGGAUAACCUACCUAUAAGACUGGGAUAACUUCGGGAAACCGGAGCUAAUACCGGAUAAUAUAUUGAACCGCAUGGUUCAAUAGUGAAAGACGGUUUUGCUGUCACUUAUAGAUGGAUCCGCGCCGCAUUAGCUAGUUGGUAAGGUAACGGCUUACCAAGGCAACGAUGCGUAGCCGACCUGAGAGGGUGAUCGGCCACACUGGAACUGAGACACGGUCCAGACUCCUACGGGAGGCAGCAGUAGGGAAUCUUCCGCAAUGGGCGAAAGCUUGACGGAGCAACGCCGCGUGAGUGAUGAAGGUCUUCGGAUCGUAAAACUCUGUUAUUAGGGAAGAACAAAUGUGUAAGUAACUAUGCACGUCUUGACGGUACCUAAUCAGAAAGCCACGGCUAACUACGUGCCAGCAGCCGCGGUAAUACGUAGGUGGCAAGCGUUAUCCGGAAUUAUUGGGCGUAAAGCGCGCGUAGGCGGUUUUUUAAGUCUGAUGUGAAAGCCCACGGCUCAACCGUGGAGGGUCAUUGGAAACUGGAAAACUUGAGUGCAGAAGAGGAAAGUGGAAUUCCAUGUGUAGCGGUGAAAUGCGCAGAGAUAUGGAGGAACACCAGUGGCGAAGGCGACUUUCUGGUCUGUAACUGACGCUGAUGUGCGAAAGCGUGGGG
Molecule: ribosomal RNA, 714 nt
Filed under: uncultured Staphylococcus sp.
Lineage: Bacteria; Bacillati; Bacillota; Bacilli; Caryophanales; Staphylococcaceae
Description: bacterial SSU rRNA
Rfam family: Bacterial small subunit ribosomal RNA
Source: RNAcentral